Molecule: ribosomal RNA, 253 nt
Filed under: uncultured bacterium
Lineage: Bacteria
Description: partial 16S ribosomal RNA
Rfam family: Bacterial small subunit ribosomal RNA
Source: RNAcentral
UACAGAGGUCCCAAGCGUUGUUCGGAUUCAUUGGGCGUAAAGGGUGCGUAGGCGGCGCGGUAAGUCAGGUGUGAAAUCUCGGGGCUUAACUCCGAAACUGCAUUCGAUACUGCCGUGCUUGAGGACUGGAGAGGAGACUGGAAUUUACGGUGUAGCGGUGAAAUGCGCAGAUAUCGGGAGGAACACCAGUAGCGAAGGCGGCACUCUGGGCCGGAACUGACGCUGAGGAGCGAAAGCGUGGGUAGCAAACAGG